UUGACAAUCCUGGGACUGAAGUACUUUAUUCAUGGAGCAGCCAGAGCCCAGGGAAAGUUUCGUCACCCUGCCCCUCAACCUUGACCUGCAGGGCUCACCUCCAGCGAUGAGCUGGGCUGGGGACUGAGUUUCCGAGCGCCUUCAUUCUCUGGCCUCU
Molecule: unclassified non-coding RNA, 157 nt
Organism: Lepidothrix coronata (blue-crowned manakin)
Lineage: Eukaryota; Metazoa; Chordata; Aves; Passeriformes; Pipridae
Source: Ensembl